CCUACGGGGGGCAGCAGUGAGGAAUAUUGGUCAAUGGGCGCGAGCCUGAACCAGCCAAGUCGCGUGAGGGAAGACAGUCCUAUGGAUUGUAAACCUCUUUAGGCGGGGAGCAAUGCCGGGCACGCGUGCCCGGAGGGAGAGUACCCGCAGAAUAAGCAUCGGCUAACUCCGUGCCAGCAGCCGCGGUAAUACGGAGGAUGCGAGCGUUAUCCGGAUUUAUUGGGGUUAAAGGGUGCGUAGGCGGAUUUUUAAGUCAGCGGUAAAAUGUCCGGGCUCAACCCGGGCCGGCCGUUGAAACUGGGGAGCUUGAGUGGGCGAGAAGUAUGCGGAAUGCGUGGUGUAGCGGUGAAAUGCAUAGAUAUCACGCAGAACUCCGAUUGCGAAGGCAGCAUACCGGCGCCCGACUGACGCUGAGGCACGAAAGCGUGGGGAUCGAACAGGAUUAGAUACCCCAGUAGUC
This 460-nucleotide ribosomal RNA is filed under the name uncultured bacterium. RNAcentral's name for it is "partial 16S ribosomal RNA". It matches the Rfam family "Bacterial small subunit ribosomal RNA", at positions 338 to 795 of the family's 1533-position model. The record is from RNAcentral.